CAAGAGGAAAACUAGGGUUCCGGCUUCCUUCCUGCAAGAAGGAGCGACUGGUCCAAGAGUUUUCGGCCUCGCAUAACGAGGCUCCACGGAGGGAUAAAAACCCGGGAGAU
Molecule: small RNA, 110 nt
Filed under: Nitrospira sp.
Lineage: Bacteria; Pseudomonadati; Nitrospirota; Nitrospiria; Nitrospirales; Nitrospiraceae
Description: Guanidine-I sequence
Rfam family: Guanidine-I riboswitch aptamer
About the family: This family represents a conserved RNA structure found upstream of the ykkC and yxkD genes in Bacillus subtilis and related genes in other bacteria. The function of this family is unclear although it has been suggested that it may function to switch on efflux pumps and detoxification systems in response to harmful environmental molecules. Nelson showed that this riboswitch senses and responds to guanidine and it was renamed Guanidine-I riboswitch.
Source: RNAcentral